Sinocyclocheilus rhinocerous is the source of this 314-nucleotide long non-coding RNA. RefSeq lists it as uncharacterized. The record is from RefSeq and is a predicted model, not a curated record. NCBI's taxonomy places the organism in Eukaryota, Metazoa, Chordata, Actinopteri, Cypriniformes, Cyprinidae. The transcript has 3 exons.
CUUCGGCUCCGCUACUUUGCGUGGUUUUCAGUCCUGUAAGAAGGGUCGCUACUCUGAGGUCUCUAACAAAAGACGGAUAUCUAAAAAUAUGUUUUGAGCAGACUUACAUCCAUUGCUGCAGCACUGGUUUCCAUGCUCUGCUGGUGACUCCUCAGAAGCAGCUGUAAAUCCUCCAGGCUCAUGUCAACAUUCUCCACACCAUCAGGAAUCUCUGAUCUUACAUAUAAAUUAAAAUAGAUUUUUCAGUGAACUGAAAUAUCCUCGGCCCUCUAGGACGGACUGUACCAUGGCAACAGGGAGGACGGGGGGUUCAG